RNAcentral lists this ribosomal RNA (301 nucleotides) under uncultured bacterium. RNAcentral describes it as "partial 16S ribosomal RNA". It matches the Rfam family "Bacterial small subunit ribosomal RNA", at positions 509 to 807 of the family's 1533-position model. The record is from RNAcentral.
CAGUAGCCGCGGUAAAACGAAGGGGGCUAGCGUUGUUCGGAAUUACUGGGCGUAAAGCGCACGUAGGCGGAUAUUUAAGUCAGGGGUGAAAUCCCAGAGCUCAACUCUGGAACUGCCUUUGAUACUGAAGAUCUUGAGUUCGGGAGAGGUGAGUGGAACUGCGAGUGUAGAGGUGAAAUUCGUAGAUAUUCGCAAGAACACCAGUGGCGAAGGCGGCUCACUGGCCCGAUACUGACGCUGAGGCACGAAAGCGUGGGGAGCAAACAGGAUUAGAUACCCCUGUAGUCCCUGUCUCUUAUAC